RNAcentral lists this ribosomal RNA (492 nucleotides) under uncultured bacterium. RNAcentral's name for it is "partial 16S ribosomal RNA". It matches the Rfam family "Bacterial small subunit ribosomal RNA", at positions 29 to 507 of the family's 1533-position model. The record is from RNAcentral.
AGUGAACGCUGGCGGUAGGCCUAACACAUGCAAGUCGAACGGCAGCACAGUAAGAGCUUGCUCGUACGGGUGGCGAGUGGCGGACGGGUGAGGAAUCCAUCGGAAUCUACUUUUUCGUGGGGGAUAACGUCGGGAAACUUACGCUAAUACCGCAUACGACCUACGGGUGAAAGCAGGGGAUCUUCGGACCUUGCGCGAUUGAAUGAGCCGAUGUCGGAUUAGCUAGUUGGCGGGGUAAAGGCCCACCAAGGCGACGAUCCGUAGCUGGUCUGAGAGGAUGAUCAGCCACACUGGAACUGAGACACGGUCCAGACUCCUACGGGAGGCAGCAGUGGGGAAUAUUGGACAAUGGGCGCAAGCCUGAUCCAGCAAUACCGCGUGGGUGAAGAAGGCCUUCGGGUUGUAAAGCCCUUUUGUUGGGAAAGAAAAGCAGCAGGUUAAUACCCCGCUGUGCUGACGGUACCCAAAGAAUAAGCACCGGCUAACUUCGUG